This 614-nucleotide long non-coding RNA is filed under the name Lupinus angustifolius (narrow-leaved blue lupine). Its description in RNAcentral is "long non-coding RNA (LANG_LNC003463)". The record is from RNAcentral. Lineage: Eukaryota; Viridiplantae; Streptophyta; Magnoliopsida; Fabales; Fabaceae.
CAGUUUUGAAAAAUCAUUUUUCGUAUGAUUUCAAUCAAUUAACCAGGCCUGUUAAUCAAUUAAAACCAGCAGUUUAAGAGUAGACAGCACUUCGGUUUCACACUUUUUUUCGGCAUUUUCUCUAUUUCAUCUUCCUCUUGAGUCUCUGUAACCGUGAUACAACUGAACCAAGUGCAUUAAACAAGAUAAACCUCACCCCUAACCCUCUCUAAUCUCCUACAAAUCUCUAAUUUCAUCCUUAUUUCACUUCAAUCUCGUUUUCCCCAAAUCAAAACCCUAGGUUAGGUUUGCCACAUUUCCUCUCUGUUUCGUCCAAAAUCAACUCGGUCUCUGCAAAACAAUGGAACAAAGUCACCCAAAAAGGUUCAAAACCCCUGCUAAUCGUGGAAGAAGACCGGAGUUUGGCUCAUCCUCCACUCGGGGCACCCAAUAGGACCGUGGUGACCCAUUCUACUCGCUCCUUCUGCAAGAGACUCGCUUGGCUAAGUUUCAAGGACGAAAACCCACGUAUGUAAGGUAUGUUGAUCUAACCUGGAUGGCGGAACAGAAUUUCAGUUUCCCGCAUGAUAUGGAGGCUCAGGGAGCCGUUAAAUGUCUGGAAUUGAAGGGACAAG